RNAcentral lists this ribosomal RNA (489 nucleotides) under uncultured bacterium. RNAcentral describes it as "partial 16S ribosomal RNA". It matches the Rfam family "Bacterial small subunit ribosomal RNA", at positions 29 to 507 of the family's 1533-position model. The record is from RNAcentral.
AUGAACGCUAGCGAUAGGCUUAACACAUGCAAGUCGAGGGGCAGCAUGGUCUUAGCUUGCUAAGACUGAUGGCGACCGGCGCACGGGUGCGUAACGCGUAUGCAACUUGCCUCACAGAGGGGGAUAACCCGUCGAAAGACGGACUAAUACCGCGUACACUCCAUCUUGGGCAUCCAAGGUAGAGGAAAUGAAAUUCGCUGUGAGAUAGGCAUGCGUCCCAUUAGCUAGUUGGUGAGGUAACGGCUCACCAAGGCGACGAUGGGUAGGGGAACUGAGAGGUUGAACCCCCACACUGGUACUGAGACACGGACCAGACUCCUACGGGAGGCAGCAGUGAGGAAUAUUGAUCAAUGGGCGAGAGCCUGAACCAGCCAAGUCGCGUGAAGGAUGACUGUCUUAUGGAUUGUAAACUUCUUUUAUACGGGAAUAACAAGAGUCACGUGUGACUCCCUGCAUGUACCGUAUGAAUAAGCAUCGGCUAACUCCGUG